GGUUGUCGUCAGCUCGUGCCGUGAGGUGUCGGGUUAAGUCCCAUAACGAGCGCAACCCUUACCGUUAGUUGCCAUCGGGUCAAGCCGGGGACUCUAGCGGGACUGCCACCGUAAGGUGAGAGGAAGGUGGGGAUGACGUCAAAUCAGCACGGCCCUUAUGUCCAGGGCUACACACGUGUUACAAUGGCCGGUACAGAGGGCAGCUACCUGGUGACAGGAUGCUAAUCCCGAAAGCCGGUCCCAGUUCGGAUUGGAGUCUGCAACCCGACUCCAUGAAGUUGGAUUCGCUAGUAAUCGCGCAUCAGCCAUGGCGCGGUGAAUACGUUCCCGGGCCUU
Molecule: ribosomal RNA, 336 nt
Filed under: uncultured Sphingobacteriales bacterium
Lineage: Bacteria; Pseudomonadati; Bacteroidota; Sphingobacteriia; Sphingobacteriales
Description: bacterial SSU rRNA
Rfam family: Bacterial small subunit ribosomal RNA
Source: RNAcentral